Molecule: non-coding RNA, 2442 nt
Organism: Phalacrocorax carbo (great cormorant)
Lineage: Eukaryota; Metazoa; Chordata; Aves; Suliformes; Phalacrocoracidae
Source: RefSeq, a predicted model, not a curated record
UAUAGCUGUAUAAAAAAGGCAGAAAAGUUAAUGCUAACAUAUGUUGCUUCAUGUUCCCAGAGCAAAAACAUUUGCAGGAUAUUAGUCCGGAGCGCAGGUGGUAAGCAAUCAAUACCUUUAUUUAUUUAUUUUUAAGGGAUGGCAGGACAGCUCACAUAAGGAAGGAGGUGAACGUAUAGAAGCCCUAUAGACCCAUUAUAUUCAUGUGUCGAUACUGUAGGCAUUGUAUUACAUACACUUUAAGGGUCUGUACCCAGCUACCAGGAUCUCUAAAGCUAAAUCAUCCUCUUAGCAAGUCACCAACCGAAAGAUACAUUUUCCUCUGCUUGUGCUUCUACCUGCCACAGGCAUCAACGAGCCAGGCCCCCGGUGCAGAGGUCCUCCCGAGCCCCCCGGGGGCCCAGGGCCGCGUUUCUGCAUCUGCCCUCUCCUUACGGCAAGGUUGUGUUCAGCAAGAGGUGUUUACACCUAGCGUGGUGGCUCGGUUCUAAAGGGGUGAGAGGACGACGUGUGCCAUGGGGGCAAUUAGGCAAAGACUGUGCAGGGGCUCCUCUCUGCGUCAUCGUCAUGGUCGUGGAGAGCGAGCAAGGUGACGGAUAGAGCAGCAGUGCGAGGGCCUUGUGACUACUGAAUUUGAUUUAGGAGAUCCUAGUUGAAGGGCACAAAUCAUAUACAGUUUCCAGUGUCAUGGAUCCCAGUUUAUAAAACGCUGAAAAUGCUUUCUGUCUCCUUAUUGAUGUAGACUUUUGGGGUAAGGGACUGGUUUCUGGCACAAGCUUUUAGAUGACGUAGCCCAAAAGGUACAGGCUCCUGUAGGCAACUAACCAUGCACCAUUGUGAUGAUGGUACCCAGACAUGACAUCUCUAUUUACAACUACGCAGACUGUAGAUUUUUCUUUAUGGAUACAUAUUCUUAGAGAGAAAUCUUUCUUUCCUUAAUCUCAAAUAUGUGAUUGGCCGUUACUUGUAUCUCAAACGGAUUUCACUGGAAGAGUCUUCUGGUGGUUAAUUGUGACAGAACAUGAACUUUUCAUCUUUUCUGUUGCCGUAAGUGAUCAAAUAGAGUCAAAACUCUAUUUCCUGCUUUACUGUGUCUUCUGAGGGGGAGGCGGAGGGCUGCUGGUGUGAGAUCAUCCCCUUGCAGAGGACGGUGGACUGGGCUCCGAGACCACAAUCUAAAUACAGAUGAAAUAACUGGCAAGGCUCCGAGAUAUUGCUUCAGGACCUCAUAUAUCUUCCUUGCCUUCAGGAUCCAGGUGUUGCAAGUUACAGAGUUGAUCCUCCUGACAUCAAAUAGGGUUUCCUCAAUUCAUAGGACCAACAGAAGGGUUGACCACAAAGAUCCAGGACUUACAGGUGUUGUGGUGAUUUGAUUUGCAGGGCACGUAGAGCUGACAUUAUCUUCCAUGGAGAGUGAACGUCCUAAGUGCUCAUUGCAUCAGGCCCACAGUUUGCUUUCCCAUUCAGACCAGGGCCAGGUACUCCAGUAUAAGUUGGGAACUUUGGAGCUAGGACUCAUAGGCUCUUUGCUUCCCAUCCUCACUGUAAGACUGUCUAGGAGAUGGCCUGGUGGGACAGCAGGCAGGACUUGGAUCUAUGUAGCAGCCUGGGCUCUACUGGGACUCCGCCUGUUUUCCCUUGGGCCUUUGUCCAUACUGACAUUUUCAUGGAGCGCUUUGAUCAUUGACAAAUUGUUUUCUGCCAGAAAUGUUUCACCAGGGAGUUUGCAAACUGCUCUUAAGAGUAGGUUAACUAAUAAUUAAUGAUGCUUUUUCUACAUGCAUUCCCACAGGACCCGUUGCCGGUGGUUUGAUUGAAAACAUGAAUGAGUUAAGCUUUAUUCCGUCACUGCAAGUUAGAGAAAUAGGUACAGGACCAGUCUGUCAGGCUGUUGGCACAAAACAACAAUUGUUUUAUUGUUGGGAUGGGACACACCAAGGAGAAAAAGAGCGAGUGAAUCUAGAGAUGAUCGUGAGAGCCAUCAGGAUCUUGUGUAGCAGCUCUGUGUCUUCUACCACUUUCUGUGCUUUUCAGGCACCAAUUUUUUAAAAUUUUUGUUUCAAGGUGCUUCAGUUUCCAUGUGGGAGAUUUACAAGUUCAGUCCUUCAUGAGGCCCUACCCAAAGUGAAUCCUCUUUAAAAUGAGAUUUCUUUGAAGAGAUCACAAAUCAGCACCCCUGAAGUCACAAUACAAUUUCAAGCAAUUUUAUUUUGAAAAACAUUUUCUAGUUUUUAAUAGCAAAAUUCAGCUUGACUUCCCUGCUUCCAGUGGAGCAAGUGACAAAUUGUUUAUCAAGAUAAUGUGAUUCACGGGAGCCUGGCGGUGACUACACCUGAGGCGUAAGUGUUGUCACCAGUCACCAAACUCCUUAAAAUGCAGCACUGUAAAACUAGCAGAAACCCCUGAGCCUUCCAAGGGCGAGAUACCACAGACUGAGGCAAG